ACUCCUACGGGAGGCAGCAGUGAGGAAUUUUCGUCAAUGGGGGCAACCCUGAACGAGCAACGCCGCGUGCAGGAAGAAGGUUUUCGGAUCGUAAACUGCUUUUCUCUGGGACGAGAACGGACGGUACCAGAGGAAUCAGCCCCGGCUAACUACGUGCCAGCAGCCGCGGUAAUACGUAGGGGGCAAGCGUUGUCCGGAUUUAUUGGGCGUAAAGCGCACGCAGGCGGUCUGCCAAGUUCGGAGUGACAGUUUCCGGCUUAACCGGAAAAGGUCUUCGAAAACUGGUGGACUUGAGGACUUGAGGGGGAGACGGAAUUCCGGGUGGAGCGGUGAAAUGCGUAGAGAUCCGGAGGAACACCGAAAGCGAANGCAGUCUCCUGGCAAGUUACUGACGCUCAGUGCGAAAGCUAGGGGAGCGAACAGAUUAGAUACCUGGUAGUCCUAGCCGUAACGAUGACCACUNNCGUGGGAGGUANCGACCCCUUCCGUG
This 490-nucleotide ribosomal RNA is filed under the name uncultured bacterium. RNAcentral describes it as "bacterial SSU rRNA". It matches the Rfam family "Bacterial small subunit ribosomal RNA", at positions 335 to 845 of the family's 1533-position model. The record is from RNAcentral.